AACGCAUAUGGCACCUUUUGACGCUUGUGAAAAGGUAUGCCUGUUUGAGAAUCAUAUUCCACCAUUCAUCCUGUUCCCUUGUUGAUCACUCCACUCGUGUGGUGGUUGAUGAGAGCAACAGGAUGGCACACUUGGACCUUUAUCAUUGAUCGUCCUGAAUCCUGCGAUGGUUGACCGUGUUGAUAGAUGAGGAUGGAGAGUGGAUGACAUGCGUGUCAUGUGGUCCGCUCGAUGUUCGUGUGCUUUGACACGUCAAGAAUACAAACAACAACAACCAUGAUCUCAAAUCAGGCAAGGCUACCCGCUGAACUUAA
RNAcentral lists this unclassified non-coding RNA (314 nucleotides) under uncultured fungus. RNAcentral's name for it is "partial contains 5.8S ribosomal RNA, internal transcribed spacer 2, and large subunit ribosomal RNA". The record is from RNAcentral. Lineage: Eukaryota; Fungi.